Molecule: non-coding RNA, 104 nt
Organism: Canis lupus familiaris (dog)
Lineage: Eukaryota; Metazoa; Chordata; Mammalia; Carnivora; Canidae
Source: Rfam
AGCUUUGCGCAGUGGCAGUAUCGUAGCCUAUGAGGUUUAUCCGAGGCGCGAUUAUUGCUAAUUGUUUCCUGAGUUGUUAAUUUUAGCCAUUCUCACUGAUGUGA